RNAcentral lists this long non-coding RNA (3913 nucleotides) under Strigops habroptila (Kakapo). RNAcentral's name for it is "lncRNA (ENSSHBG00005003633.1)". The record is from RNAcentral. Lineage: Eukaryota; Metazoa; Chordata; Aves; Psittaciformes; Psittacidae.
UUAGGAGUAUUUGAGGGGAAAUUAGUUCCACUUUAUUUAAAAGAAUACCAGAAGACCAGAAGGCAAACAUGCAUGGAUCUACAACACCGAUCAUCAGCCUACUAUGAGGCCAUAGAACUUGCUUCCACUUUAUGCAACUCUUCCUGACAAGUGAGCCCCAAACCACUCAUUUUUAUGUUUCCCUUUUCACUGUUUUCAUCUCUGUGCCAGUUCAUUGAGAAGUUAAUAAAACUUCCCUGCUACAAGAGGUCAUUUCACAACUAAACAGAGAAAUUAAAAAUCGGAAAUGGAACAAAUGCCAAGGAGAUGUUGAAUGAGGUGGUGUUCUGGAUGUACUCUUUGAAGAACAUUUGCAGAAUUGUUUGAUUGCGUUAGAGCAUGCAGGAAACAAUAAACCCAACACAGACUAACGACAACUCUCAGAGUUGCAUUCAGCUCAAACAUUGCCAUUCUACUCGGAAUUACAAACAAAUCUGAUUGAUAGUGAAUUACUUAAUAUCAUGGAAAUGUUCCUGCACAUUUUGCAAAGCAAGAUGCUCAGAAAACCAGCACUUUUUUCAGCCUAAACAUGAAGAUGGUAAGACUUGAAUCUGCUUGUUCAUAUUGAAAGAAUUGUAGCCUUCACCAGUCAUAAGAUUGGUGAACAAGUUGCAUUCAAACAGUAAGAACUGCAAUUUAACCACAUCUCAUACCAGUUAGAUCUUUACAGUUUUGUCUUCUGACAAAACUGUAAAGUGUACUAAGUGUAGAAGAUUACGCUUAGAAACUGUCAAUAUUACAAGUAUUGAUUUUAUUUAAAAGAAGCAGGCUAGUGUAACUGGCUUUGCAUGUCGAUGUGAGGAUUUCAGCGCCGCCCACUCAAAGACAACGUUCAUCUCAGCUUCUAAGCCCCAGCAUGCAGUGCAAGGAAUUCAAUCUUUGGCCCAAUUAUUUCUUGGAAGAACAAGAAAUCAUGCAUAUCUAACUGCAUUGGAAUUGACUGUGCUGCUGGAAGGAGUGUGGUUUUGUGUUAAUCUUGUUGCCAUCAAUGAGUAACAAUAAAAUCAGAUAUCCUAAACAGCAGCAGGAAAAUUAGAAAGUAAAUGUUAGCAAUUUUCUUUUUUCUUUAAUAUCUCCAAUUAAUACAGUUCCUUAGUUGUUUCCUGGCAUUAUUCUUCAUUUUCCACCAUGCUAAUAAAAAACUCCCAAACCAACAUAUAAUAAACUCUGGUUUUCCUACACCCCUCAUGGUGCCGCAUGACUGCUAUACCUUCCCUUUGUUUUUUGCCUCACCACUACUGUACUUACAGGAUACUUUCCAGCUACCUUGUAUGUCCCUGGUGACAGAUGGACUUGUUUUGUGCCUUAAGGACAUGACAACAGCUUCUACUGAGUCAUAUCCAACAUCCAUCUAGCCUUUCCUCCUGUCUCUGACCAAGGUCAAUAGCAGCUAUUUAGGAAAUAGCAUAAAAACUGGGCAAGUGUAUAUUAAUCUUUUAUCAGCAUCUUGUAGUUGAAGAACAUCCUGACCAAGAGGUUACAUUGUUGCAUAUAAUAGCCCUGCAUGGAUUCCCCCUCUCCCCAGUGAAUUUUCAUCUUAAUUUAAAGGCAUUUUUAGCAUAGACAAAACUCCUCGGUAUGAAGGUCCAUAACAAAACUACACACUGUCAGAAAUAACCUCCAUGAGUCUGUGCUGAACCUACCACCCAUGAAUCUAUCCAUCUAUUCUUGCUAAUUAUCAGUUUUCUCUUUGUGAAUCUCCUGUGUUUUGCUGCUUUGCACUCUGCCAAGAUGUGCCAGAUCUUAUGCCUUCUUUAUGCUUCUGCAUAUCAGAGUUAAACCAACUGAAGCUCUGGGGUUUUGACACCAUUAGACUCCACAUGCUCUCUUGUGAAAAGGAUUGUGUCUGAUGAGGCAACAUCCUCCAACUCUCUCCUUCCUCUUCUCCCAAAACCCUGAAUGAAAAAGGAAAGCUGGGAAAUUAACAGCAUUUAUAAUUGUAAUUCAGCACUGAAACAUUAACCUUAAUUUCCCUUUGACAGUUACCCCCAUGCAGAGUAAAUGUCACUUGUUUUGUAAGCAGGAUGUUUUUUGCAGUCAGCUUGCAUUUUGUAAAUCAUUGCUGAAGUCACAAGACAAGAGAAUAUUACAUCAUGCAGCUGAGGACAGUGGGUUCAGAACAGAAAUACCUUGAAUAAACUUAAAGAUGCCAGCUCAGGGUUUAACACCAAUGAGCUCAGCACAGAAAGAAAUUAUUCAAUAUGUAGGUACAUGACACCACAAGAAGACAUCUAAGAGCAGCAAGCCAGUAGUGUAACACCAGCUCGCUGAGCAGGGUCUGAAGUGUGUAUGUGGGGAAUCAGACCCAGUUAUAGCUGGGAGCCUGAGCACAGGGCUUUUGUAGGGGAUGUUUAUAAAUGGACACAGACAUUUUUCCAGUCCCAGCACUUCCUUGAACACCCAGUAAGUAAGAAAAAAAGAGAAAACAAACCAAAAUGAGCAGUAUUGUCCCAUAAGUGAUUGCAUAUCCUCACCAGAAAUACGCAAGCAAAUCCCAAACCAGCAUGUCUUCUCUUCAUUGAUCUUAAUCAUGUAUUCUCCACAUAAAUAACUGUUCCCUUUUUAUUAUUCAUUCCAGCUGAGUGGACUGCAUACCUGGCCACACAAAUGUCUUCAAGUGGAUAAAAGGCACUUAGCUACAUACCAUGUACUUUGGAAGCUAAAACGAAGGAAAUUCCAGCAAUAGUUUACAGGCAGAGAUUGUGCUCCUACGGUUGUAAUUUUAAGCAAGACAGUUAUAGGCUUGGUUUUGCAUCAUGUCCCCACGCAUCUCUGUGCAUGUGCGCAUGUAGGUAUUAAUAAAUGAUGAGUUUAUAUGCAUGUACACCCAUGCCAGCAAAAGUAUGUGUAUAUAUUUACAUAUGUGCUUAUGUUACAGAAACUCAACUUUUCAGAACUGGAAAUAAAGAAGCUAUGCACCUUGAUCUUUUUAAUUGUGGGGGCCUCUCCUUUGCACAUGCAAUUUUGCAGACAUAGAUGAUGGAGUUUUAACAUUUACUCUGAGAUUAAUCUCCACUAGUUUGGGUUACUUAACAGUUAGAGAGACGGGCCUCCAGAAAACAGAGUUCAAAGAGGUAGGAUCAUUUGUCAUCUGAAUGAUACACAAGCACCUUAAACAUAGCUUGUUUAAAUUGGACAUCUCACUUCAAGAGAGUUAAAGUUAGGGGAAACAAAUCUUUUUGCCAGCUACUUGAUUGCUGUUAGACAGAUCAAGAAGAUCAUCCAAAUGUGUGGAUAACUAAACGGGAAAAAAAAAGAGAAGUCAGGGUAAUACCACAUUCUCUGGCAAAAACAUAUUAGAGAACUGAGGAAUCCAGGCAGAGAUGGAUUUCCAGCCUCUUAUAACAUGCAUGUGCUGCAAAGUUACACACAAUACAUGUUUUCAGAAUCUGCAUGCACUCUCCAGCUUUCCUUCACAUGCAUCUACUGUUAUGUCCAUAUUCAGGCAAAAGCAAAGAGGUUUGCAGGUAAAAAUGCCACUGUUGUUUUUAAUGGUCAUAAACACCAAAACACUAACCAGCACAAACAUUUGGAAUUGUUGUAAUGUAGCCACUGCUGACAUCUUCAGACUGUAGAACAUUUUCUUCUACUGAGAGCUACUUUAUCAACAAAAUAUUUGAACAUCCUUAUUUUAAGCAAACUACAUUGCUAAUACUCCUCAAUAUACUAAAUCGAAACAUUAGGUGGAGAAAUAAUUAAAAUCUGCAACUCAAAGAAACAAACACCCCUCUCAACACUCUGUUAAUUCAGCUUUAAUGAUGUACAAAAAUACAUAAUCUUUUAUCUAAAGCUUCGACAUUCUUUCAGAUGAUCGAAUCACAAGAACAUCCAAAGUCUUCCUCUCCAAAUGAUGAGAAAGCAAAUGUUAACCUGC